CGUGGCUAGACAAAGAGACAGACUACAGUUGAUAACAACCAGGAUCUUUAUUGAGAAGAGUUAAUUAAUACACGUCGGAGGUACACUUUCUCCGAUAUUGAUAAAUACCUUGACCGUAGUGAUAAUAAUUCGAUCUAAACAACAAACAAAAACCUUCUUCCUUUCACAGUGCAAACACAGUCUCUAGUCCAAUUAAAUUUGGCGGCACAGUCUUUGGUCACUUAAUGGACGAUAGAUGAAAAUAACAUUAUCUUUCUCUUUCGGGGCUUUCCCUUGGCUUAUCUUGUACUUCUCUCCUCUCAAAGCGUCGACGACCUAUUCACAAGUGCACUUCUCGACAGGCUUGGGCUUAGUUGGGCUUCAACGUUUCUUUCAACUCGUGAGCAACUGUCACCUUCGGCGACUUGUGUCCGACUGCCCCGAACUAGGGACACAUCCAAGUAUCUAACCUUUCUCUAUCGUGGGGUUUUCUCCCCACCCGCAUUCCAAGAUUCCCUGUGGUUCCACUUUCCCACCACCUGCACGCCACCUGCACGACAUCCGACUCCUUUAGUGUCAUCGUAACU
This 566-nucleotide long non-coding RNA is filed under the name Androctonus crassicauda. The record is from RNAcentral. Lineage: Eukaryota; Metazoa; Arthropoda; Arachnida; Scorpiones; Buthidae.